GACGAACGCUGGCGGCGUGCUUAACACAUGCAAGUCGAACGGUGAACCUCUUCGGAGGGGAUCAUUUGCUAACGGGUGAGUAACACGUUGGCAACCUGCCCCCGUCUCUGGUAUAACUCCAAGACUUUGGGGCUAAUACCGUAUGUUCACCGCUUCCCGCAUGGCUUGUGGUUGAAAGGUUUUCCGGCUUGGGAUGGGCCCGAGGCCUAUCAGCUUGUUGGUGUGGUAUUGGCCUUCCAAGGCGAAGUCGGGUAGCCGACCUGAGAGGGUGACCGGCCACACUGGGACUGAGACACGGCCCAGAAGCGUACGGGAGGCAGCAGUGGGGAAUAUGGCGCAAUGGGAGGAAGCGUGACGCAGAGAAGCCGCGUGGGGGAUGACGGCCUUCGGGUUGUAAACAUCUUUCAGCAGGGACGAAGCGAAAGUGACGGUACCUGAAGAAGAAGCACCGGCCAACUACGUG
Molecule: ribosomal RNA, 463 nt
Filed under: uncultured bacterium
Lineage: Bacteria
Description: partial 16S ribosomal RNA
Rfam family: Bacterial small subunit ribosomal RNA
Source: RNAcentral